Molecule: long non-coding RNA, 8345 nt
Filed under: Gossypium barbadense (sea-island cotton)
Lineage: Eukaryota; Viridiplantae; Streptophyta; Magnoliopsida; Malvales; Malvaceae
Description: long non-coding RNA (GBAR_LNC003961)
Source: RNAcentral
UAAUCUGGAAUUGAGCCCGAAUCAGGGAGAGAAAGAGGAAUCUGAUAAAAGUAGAGGUGGAAUGGACAUGCUUCUAUCUGCUGCCAGUACUCUACACUUUGUGGAGAAGUUGAAUGCGAAUGGCAAGAAGAGUUAGAAAGACCUUGCACUUGGGAGGACAUAACAUGAUAUGAUUUGUUUUUCACGGUAUAAUGCCUUUACCUUUUCUAUUAUGGAUAGCUCAGAUUGACAACUUAUUUUCACUUCAUUUUUUGGGCUGGGAAGCAGAUUGGUGUAGGUGUAGGUUAUUAACUUCAUUAGAUUUUACUAGCAUUUGGAUGAAUAGCUAUGAUCAAAAAACGAAUUAAAAAAUUAAUAGCAUUUGUAUGAUCUCUGCUUGAUCAAUGGGAUUGCCAAACUGUAAGAUCCUGUUGGUACAGAAAAUCAUCCACUAACAGGUACGAUUGAACUAAUGUUAGUUUGUAGUUUGAGAAUAGAUAGUUUUAGUGUCAAAAGUGAAUGUUUCCCAACAAUGUUGUAGAAUUGUGGAGAAAACUCUAACCAAACAGCCUGUUGUAAGCUAUGAAAAGUUUAGUCUAAUUGGAUGAUUACCUUUUGUUAUGCUUUUGGAUAUAAUUUUUGCUUCACCAGGGGAGUUGGCUCUAUGCUUUAUCCUUGUUUUUUCAUUAAUCUUUGUCCUUGUUUUUCCUAAUCUCUCCUUUUCAUUAAAUUUAAGUAGGGAAAGAAAAAAAAAAUCAAUUGAAGCAGAUUCUGAAUUUGGAAGUUGUAAUGUAUACUCUCUCUAUUGUUGUUUGCUUAUAUAUUUUUUAAUUUAGCUUUUGAUAUAGAAAAGGAAAGACUACAUAUACACUAUUUUGACCAUAAGAAAAAAAAAAUUGCAAUGUUGAAGCUUGUAGAUUCAUUAAAAAAUAAUGCCCUUGUUGUUUAGAAUCCUGUAUGUAUUAGGUACAUGAAUGUGUUACAUUUUCAUCUUUUUAUGACUAUAUUUCAUGUGACUGGCGCUUCUUUGGAUGUUAUUUUAUACCCAUGUUUGAAUAUGUGUUUUUUUUUUGUUGGAUAAGAAUAUUUCGACAUAGAUGCAUUAAGUGAAGAAUGCUAUUGGUGGAUAGACUCUGUUAACUUGGAAGCAUUAUGUUGUUGCUACAUUUUGAACAAACUAAUGUAUUAGUAUUUUAGUACUUUUUUUUGCCUAUAGGGAAUUAAAGAAAACAAUGUUAAAUAACUAAUGUAUUAGUAUUAGUAUUAGUAUUUUAGUAUUUUGAUUUUGAUUUUGAUUUUGAUUUUGACAACAGAAAAGAUGAGAGAACAUUUUAGCUAUGUCAAUUUAAGUAAUUAAUUUGUAUUUUUCAAAUCAUAACAGAAAUAUUAUCUUUAUUAUAUAUAUAUUUUUUGGGUUUUCAGUCCAUCUAUUAUAAAAUAGAACAUGGAUGGUAUUGUGUGGGUUCGAUCCUGGAUGGGUACUUUGAGGGGGCUUCUAUUAUUAAAUUUUUGGUUUUAAGUAAAAUAAUCGGUCUUGAGAUAUUUGCUAAUGCUGUUUUUUUUUUUAAAUUCUAAUGGCAAAUGCUGCUUUUUAACCCUAAAAGAAUGCUCUUUUCCAAGUUUUAUAAUUAUUAUUUUUAUAUAUUUUAAUUGAGAAUUUUUAUUUUUUACAAUUUUUAAACUUGUAUUUUUUUUAACCUUAGGAAAAAAUUAAUAAAAAACCUUUUUAUGAUACAUCUAUUAUUGAUUUAUAAAGGCUUGGGUAUGUGUAUAUAUAAAAAUAAUAUCGUCACAGAAAGAAAAUUAUAUUGGAUGGUAAUUCUCUGUGAUCUUUAUGUAGAAAAUGAAAUAAAUAGUAUAUAUAAAUAAUAAUAACUACUCCAUUUGUGGUCCGACCCACAAGUUGACUACAUAGGAUUUUUCUUUUCUUCUUGGUUUGUUGACCUCUUUUCGGGUUUUCGGUCAUUUGAGCAACCGACACCUGUCAGUUUUUCCUUACUGGCAACCUCAACCAACCAGUUCCAGAUCCGACCCAACUAAGCAAAGGUCUAACUUUGUCCCAGUCCCUGUACUUUCUGAAUUCCUGAAAUUUAAUCCGUUUACUUUUUCUUUAAAAGAAUACUUAUGCUUGUAAUUCUUAGAAUUUAGUUUCUCUACUUGUUUGAUUUAAAAAUUAAAGUCUAGUUAAUAAAUUUAUCAAUUAAAAUUGGUUAACUUUGAAUAUAAAUUCAAUUGAUUUUUAAAUUUUAAAUCAAGCAUUUGAAUAUUAAAAUAUCACAUGUUCAAAUUUAAUAAAAUUUUAUUAAUAGUGGUAUCAAUUGAUUUCAACUUUAAUUUUUUAAUUAAGAUAAGUGCAUAGAUUAAAUUUUUGGAAUUAAAAAUUGAAAGAUUAAAUUUUAAAUAUACAGAGAGUACAAGGACUUCAGAUAGAAUUAAACCCUAAAAAGAAUACAAAGAAAAAUGCCAAAACAAAAGUAAACUCAAACACAAUUUACACACUGCUGUAGUUACUAUUUUCAUUUCUUUUUUCUUGAGAAAAAAAAAUACACGGAUAAGACGGGGAAGCUGCACAGCAAAGCCGAAGUUUCUCACGGAAAAUAAUAGUAAAACAAUUUUCCAAUUUUUUAGGGUUUCAAUUUCGGGCCUAAUAUUUUCAACUCAGGUAAACCUUCCUCCUUCUUUACUAUUUUUUUCUUGUUAUUUGGUGUUUGGUACUCAAGGAAAUGCAGGAGGGAAAAAAGACGGAGAAUAAUGAAGUUGUAUAUUAAUUUGAUUUAUUGUUUUUAAUUUUCAAAUGAUCCUUAGUGAAGUUCAUUUGAAUUACUUAGCUUAGUUUGGAUGAUUUCUUUUAUCGUUUUUUGGUGAAGCUAGGGGAUGAUAUAUUUAGACUUCAAUUUUCUUUUUGGAUAUUCCCUUUGUUUUCUGUAUGCCUAAAGUUUUUUUUUUUUUACUGAAUUUGCUUGUUUUUUCGUCUAAUCUGAUGAUUUUUGAAGUGCUUAUGUUAUAAUUUAAUGUGAAUUUGGAAGAUAAUGUUGGUUUAUUACAGAGAUAUCCUAACUCUGUGAUGAUAUGCUUGGAAAACUAGGGUUUUGUUCUGUUUUGUGAAGGUGGAGAUGGGUGUUGAAGAGGGGACAAUCAACAGUGAAGGAGCAGAGAUUGGGGAGGAGAUUAAGUGCUUCAAGAUUGAACCAGUGAAUAAUGGUUUUGGUUCUGAAUUUGCAAAUGAUUCUGGUGAUGGGAGUUCUGGGGCAAGUGAGAGUUUACGAACAUAUAAGAGGCGGAGACAGUUAAGGUCAAGUUCAAAUACUGAAGUGCAAGAUGGUGGGAAAGCUUCUAUAGGCCAGGUAGAUUUCGAUUAAUGUGUUUCCAUAUGUAUGUUAGAAGUUAUAGACGCUAAGUAUUUUUCUUUCUUGUACUAUUUAAAUGUUGAGAUAGGCAUAUUCUGAUUCUGUUCUCCAAUUCUUGUUACAACAUUUGUUUUUCCUUUAGUUAAAGAGCUUUCUUAUUUUAGAUUUGGAUUAUGGAUUGAAAAAUAUUAACUUGUUUGCAAUUAGAUGGAAGGCUCUGCCUGGAGACUAUCCUAUGAGUAUGAGCAGAAGGUGUGACUGGGUCGUUGGGUACAUAAAAUACAAUUUCAAGCAACUGUGUUAAGUCCAAAACUGGUGUGCAUAAUAUGAGAUAAAUAUGUGAGUUUUUGAUGUCUAGAAAUAUAAUUAAUAGCUGUUAGUUACUCUUUCUCUUUGUGGGAAAUUUGUAGUUAUAUCAUUUAUUUGAUUGCACUAGUGAAACAUGCAAUAUUGUCUUUCUUUCUUUCUUUCCUUUUUUUAAUAUGAGUACCUGAGUAUUCUAUUUGGGCUGACAUGUUGUGGUCUUUGUUAUUCUUUUGUCCUAAGAACAGUUGGUUUGUUUGAUAUGUUUAACAUGCUAAGCGAUUCUAAUUUUUGUGAGCAGGUCACUCUUCCUUUUACAGAUCAUUGUGCUUCUUUAAAUGAUUCCAAUUAUCGUCUACAAAGGAAGUGGAGAAAUGUUGUAUUGGAGAACAUGCAUCAGUUUUUAAGUGGUGAUGAAGGUGGUAUACGACGUUGCAUUCAAGAUGCACUUGUAUUUCAUCAAGAAAAUGAUUGUAAUGUGACAGUUAAGGUUUGUGCUGUUAUCUGAACUCCAUAUGGUCUAUGACGUUUCCAGUGGUAUUUUUCUUGUUGGUUUCCUUCAUAAUAUAUUUGAAAAGUUGUUUUAUGAUUCUUUCAUAGGAUUCUGAUACUUGUCAUGAAGAUAAACAGAACUGCUCUCCACAAGCCAGGCAGAUUCCUAAUGGAAAUCAGCAUACUGCUGAGGAGCUGGAGGGUGUUAUAUCUAAUGGGUCUUAUAAGGAAUUAAAUCCUAAAACUACCACUGAGAGGUGUCAACUUGUUUUCUUUGAUGUUAUAAUUUCAGAAAAGUUCACAUCUUUGUGUAAGCUUCUGUUAGAGAAUUUCCAAGGGAUUAAGCUUGACAAUCUUUUUCACUUAAGUCUAAUAAACUCAAGGAUGAAAGAGGGAGAGUAUGAGCAAUCACCUAUGCUUUUCACAUCAGAUAUUCAGGAGGUAAUCUAUUUAACCAUUUUUAUUUGUAUGCAUUGCUUGAAUGGAGUUGUUUAGUUAAAAGGUAAAAUGUUUGGCUUUUUCUUUACCCCUAAAAACCAAGAUGUUGAUAAGUGAAACAGCUUCAUGCUAUAUGUGUGUGUGUGUCUGCGUUCUUUAAAACAAUUGAAGAGUUCAGAAUUUAGUUUGUUUUCAAUGGCAGUGAUUGUUAAAAGGUCACAAGAAUGAACAAAGGAACACUUAUAAAUAGGGGAGUUACUCUUUGUCAACAGCUUGAAUUUAAAGAAGUUCCCAUCUAACUCAUAGUUAAUUAUGUGUUGUGAGAAUUAGGGUCAUUGUGAGACUUCAGAUAAAUUCUUUGCCAAUAUUCGAUGAAGAGAGGUUUGAUGUGAAACUUCAAAUCAAUUCUUCUCUUCAUCUUUGGCAUAUUUGCAAUGAUUCAAGAAUCUGUUGUUUACUGAUAUAGGCUUUUACUAAUUCUGUCCAGAUUGAAGUCUCAAUGUAAGGGACCUUUUAAUUUCUUGAAGGUACUCUGUUUAUAAUUGUAAGUGCAUUGAUAAUGAGCCUUUCCUUUUUACUUCAGGCAAAGUUAGAGUGAUCGGAAGCAUUUUAACGUUGUUUUCCAUAGAGUUUACCCACAAGCUAUUUCUUUUUCACAGAGAAGGCCAAUGUUCCACCUUAAAAGGGCUAGUUUUCUUUUGUAUAAAGCAGCUACUAAACUAAUCUAGUAUAACAUAACCCAGUAUGCCUACUAGUAAAACGACAGUUCAGCUUCUUAGGACUUUGGUGUAUUUGAUUUCUUCUUUCCUGUAUACGACUUAAGUGUUUAGGAGUCUGUUUGAUGAUUAAUGAUAGGGAAGAGUUACUGUUGAAUUGGGGUGCCUUGCUUAUCACUAGAACAUGGCUUAAUGGCUGGUUCAAUCGCUAAUUGCUCCACAAAGUGUUCAAAUCUGAUUUGUUCCUACAACUUGAAUCAAUUGCUCUUGUGCAGUUAAAUGCCUGCCUUUAGUUUCAUUCAUCUAACUGUGCUGAUUGAUGGUCACAAGAACUUGGCUGAAGGAUUAAACCCUCUGUAUUGCAAGUCAUGUCGACUGCUUAGAGUUAGAAAAGGAGGUUGUAAUAAGUAGAAGGCUUAGAAUUGUUUAUUAUCUCCCUAAAAGAAAGUCAAUUGUUCUUAAUUCUAGUUCUCUGCAUAAAGAGUAAUUAUUUAUCCUUGAUUAUCAGCCUUUUUUCAAACUUGUUUCUCGUUGAUCGUGUUUGUGCAUACAUGGUGUUAUUCCUUUUCUGCUAAUUUAGUGCAAUACGAUUUGAGACGAUAAUGUCCUUUUUUGUCUCCUGUGGUACCCUUUCAUUUCAUUAAUACAGAUUUCAAAUUAUUUUUCUUUUCUGCUUCACUAGACUGAAGUUACACAUUUCCAAAGAAGUUAAUUAAUAACAUCUCUUUUGAUACCCUUACUGUUCAUUCAUUCUUUCUUCCGAUGUCAAUUUUUUCUUUAAAUUGCACAUCUCCAAACAAUCUUUGUGGUUCAUUAGCUGUUAUCAGAUCAUCUUUGUUGAUUCGUUUAGUUCCAUUAAUGAGCUUGUAUGUUGUUAGAAGGAAACAAAAAGCCUUGGAGUUUAAUAUGUUUUAAUAUACACACAACUUUAAUCUAAAGUUUGAUGCAUUUUCUAAAGAAAAAUGAAAUGCUUAUAAAGUUUCCAGAAGAACUCAAAAUGGCUGCUUCCUGUAGUGUAUAUAUAUUACUCUUAAGCUAAAUACCUCCGGUGCAGGUAUGGAGAAAACUUCAAGGACUUGGAUCAGAAAUUAUAUCCCUUGCGAAGAGCCUUUCAAACAUUACAAGUGCUUCCUGUAGUGAACAAGUGAGUUAAUGAACAUACACUGUGCUUCUCUUGUUUUUUGAAAUUUAGUAAUUUGCUUAAAAAAACUAUUGCUUUGAUAGCGAGUUAUGUGAUGCUUUUUCUUCAAUCUUUCAGGUUGGAUGUUCUGUUGGCAGUGCUGAAAAGGAGAAACAUGAGGUAAGCAUUCAUGAAUUAGCUUAUAGUGUGCAUUGGCAUGCUUGUAUCAGCAGAAUGCAUUACUGUUUUUUCAAACUUUAGUUGUAGAUGCAUUCUUAACUUUUAUGUCAAAAAAGAGCCAUAUUGGAUAAUUUAGGGGUGCAUUUGGUGUUUCAGAGCUUGGAUAAAAAUUGAUGUAAGCCUAGACUUCGGAAUUUCCACUGCUCUUAUGUUUGGACUGAUUUCAACGGAAGUGCUGCAGUGGACUGGUGGGUUAGGAUUCCCAUAUAUAGAAUUUUGUCUUUAUUUUUGUGCUUCAAAAUUGUCAACUGGGCCCUCUUUUAUUUUGGUUUCCUAUUUAAACACCCUAAUGGUGUGGGAAAUUCAAGUAAACCUUUAUAGCCUUCGUGCUGGCUAGUUGGUUGCCUUCUAUCUAUCCUGCUUGUUUGUAUGACAGGACCCGGCAUGUUUUCUGCUGUCAUCUUGUAGUCAUAUUCUGUUCUUCUUUGCUAUCUGAAUUUAGUAUUUGUAGAGCACUUUGAGGGCUAUUUGAAUUCAGCAUUUGUAUAGAACAUUGAUUUCGACACAGUAGGACUCUGUCCUGAAUUGUUCUCUAGUUUUAAUUGCUUUACAUGCAAGUAAUCUAUAUUAUAUGUUAGGAAUCUGAUUUAAAAGUUGGGUUCAUGCCUGAGAAAUAUUCUGAAUUUUGUUCAAUGAAAAACAGUUCUGUACUCGGGAAUCAGAAACUCUUGCUAAACCGGAGCAAAUUGAAGCUUGUGGUGUCUUUAAAGUUUGCACUUGCAGGUAUUGUGGGGAGAAAGCAGAUGGAAAGGAUUGUUUUGUGUGUGAUUCAUGUGAGGAAAUGUACCAUGUUGCCUGUAUUGAGCCUGCUGUGAAAAUGAUUCCUCGAAAAAGUUGGUAUUGUGCCAGCUGCACCAGUAAUGGAAUGGGGUCUCCACAUGAGAACUGUGUGAUAUGUAACAGACUGAAUGCCCCACGGACUCUCAACAGCAAUGUUGCUGAUGAAAAUUAUAAUGAACAUUUUGAAACAUUUACUGAAUUGGAAGAAAAUUCAAACUGUAGUGUUGGUAAUAGGCUUCAGUUAUCACUGGGGAGCAAAACCCGGCAUGUUUGCAAAAUUUGUGGAGGUAAUUUUGUCAAAGGUGAGAAGUUAAGGAGUUGCGAGCAUCCUUACUGCCCCAAUAAAUAUUACCAUGUUAGGUGCCUGACAAUGAAGCAGUUAAAAACAUAUUGUUCUCGCUGGUACUGCCCUUCUUGUCUGUGUAGAGCUUGCCUUGCUGACAAAGAUGAUGAUAAGAUUGUUUUAUGUGAUGGCUGUGAUGCUGCAUACCACAUUUAUUGCAUGAAACCACCAAGAACUUCAAUCCCAAGCGGAAAAUGGUUUUGUAGAAAAUGUGAUGCUGGGAUCCAGCGAAUACAGAGAGCUAAAAGAGCAUAUGAAAGUAAGCUGAAAAUGAAGGGCAUAGGAGGUAAAAUGGCAUAUGGUAAUCUGGAAUUGAGCCGGAAUCAGGGAGAGAAAGAGGAAUCUGAUAGAAGUAGAGGUGGAAUGGACAUGCUUCUAUCUGCUGCCAGUACUCUACACUUUGAGGAGAAGUUGAAUGCAACUCGCAAGAAGAGUUAGAAAGACCUUGCACUUGGGAGGACAUAACAUGAUAUGAUCUGUUUUCACGGUAUAAUGCCUUUACCUUUUCGAUUAUGGAUAACUCAGAUUGACAACUUAUUUUUACUUCAUUUUUUGGGCUGGGAAGCAGAUUGUUGUAGGUGUAGGUU